CUUGAAAGAAACAACAAAUUUCAGGCUUGAUUUGAACAGCCAAGUGAACAUUUUGAGAAUUUCCAGGAAAAAUUACUUCUUACUAUAUUGCUUUGGAAACGAUUACAACUAGUGUGCAUUUAUUUAAUUUUGAAGAAAUUAAGGACAGCAAACCAAUCCAUGGCCAGUAAUAGCUGAAGCAGUGGAAGUGUCCACCAGAGAAAGAAGUCAUGUGGGCAAAGUUAAAGACUGCAAAAGGGUCAGUCAUCAAAGUGCCUUCAAUCUACCUGUGGCAAUCCAAGAAGAAGGAAGACAGCUGGUAGACCACAAUCAGGGUGAGGAGUAGGAGGGGAGGAUGCCUUGUGAAGGGAGAAGCAGAAUCAUAUUAAAAAAUCACAGAAGCUACAGUCUUUUGAUGGAAAAUAGUGUUGCCAAGGAGGGAGUGAGAAAGCAGCUUGGUGGACACCCAGCAGCCAGCCAAGAUCAACCCACCAAGUCCUGUUAAGGAGGAAGAAUGAGAGCGGCUGUAUGGGUGUCUGGCUGCUGGGCCAGGUCAACCUACCACAGCGGUCUACCAAGAACUAAGGACAGACUGGACAGGAAAACAAAUUUAAAGAAGGGACUUGGAAGACUAUCAGGACAGCAUCUUUGAACUGAGAGACAAUCUGAGCCUGUUAUUUCAAAUGGAAGUAGCAGAGCCGGUGAGCCAUCCAAGAAUGAAGUGGUCCCUUCCGUCCUGCAGUUCAUGCAAGAAUGCUAAAAAACAGACAGAGAUAUGUGAAUAUGAAUACAUCACACAGAAAUCUG
This is a long non-coding RNA of Falco peregrinus (peregrine falcon), 786 nucleotides long. RefSeq lists it as uncharacterized. Lineage: Eukaryota; Metazoa; Chordata; Aves; Falconiformes; Falconidae. The transcript is spliced from 4 exons. The record is from RefSeq and is a predicted model, not a curated record.